Molecule: ribosomal RNA, 279 nt
Filed under: uncultured bacterium
Lineage: Bacteria
Description: partial 16S ribosomal RNA
Rfam family: Bacterial small subunit ribosomal RNA
Source: RNAcentral
UGCCAGCCGCCGCGGUAAGACGGAGGGUGCAAACGUUGUUCGGAAUUACUGGGCAUAAGGCGCACGUAGGCGGCCAGAUAAGUCCGGUGUGAAAGCCCCCGGCUCAACCGGGGAACUGCAUCGGAUACUGUUUGGCUCGAGGACGGUUGGGGUGAGUGGAACUCCUGGUGGAGCGGUGAAAUGCGUAGAUAUCAGGAGGAACACCAGUGGCGAAAGCGGCUCACUGGACCGUAUCUGACGCUGGGGUGCGAAAGCUAGGGUAGCGAACGGGAUUAGAUA